UGGGGAAUAUUGCGCAAUGGGCGAAAGCCUGACGCAGCGACGCCGCGUGAGGGAUGAAGGCCUUCGGGUUGUAAACCUCUUUCAGCAGGGACGAAGCGCAAGUGACGGUACCUGCAGAAGAAGCACCGGCCAACUACGUGCCAGCAGCCGCGGUAAUACGUAGGGUGCAAGCGUUGUCCGGAAUUAUUGGGCGUAAAGAGCUCGUAGGCGGUCUGUCGCGUCGGCUGUGAAAACUUGGGGCUCAACUCCAAGCCUGCAGUCGAUACGGGCAGACUAGAGUCCGGCAGGGGAGACUGGAAUUCCUGGUGUAGCGGUGAAAUGCGCAGAUAUCAGGAGGAACACCGGUGGCGAAGGCGGGUCUCUGGGCCGGAACUGACGCUGAGGAGCGAAAGCGUGGGGA
Molecule: ribosomal RNA, 400 nt
Filed under: uncultured bacterium
Lineage: Bacteria
Description: bacterial SSU rRNA
Rfam family: Bacterial small subunit ribosomal RNA
Source: RNAcentral